Molecule: ribosomal RNA, 492 nt
Filed under: uncultured bacterium
Lineage: Bacteria
Description: partial 16S ribosomal RNA
Rfam family: Bacterial small subunit ribosomal RNA
Source: RNAcentral
AGUGAACGCUGGCGGUAGGCCUAACACAUGCAAGUCGAACGGCAGCACAGUAAGAGCUUGCUCUUACGGGUGGCGAGUGGCGGACGGGUUAGGAAUACAUCGGAAUCUACUUUUUCGUGGGGGAUAACGUAGGGAAACUUACGCUAAUACCGCAUACGACCUACGGGUGAAAGCAGGGGAUCUUCGGACCUUGCGCGAUUGAAUGAGCCGAUGUCGGAUUAGCUAGUUGGCGGGGUAAAGGCCCACCAAGGCGACGAUCCGUAGCUGGUCUGAGAGGAUGAUCAGACACAUUGGAACGGAGACACGGUAAAGACAACUACGGGAGGCAGCAGUGGGGAAUAUUGGACAAUGGGAGCAAGCAUGAUCCAGCCAUACCGAGUGGGUGAAGAAGGCCUUAGGGUUGUAAAGCACUUUUGUUGGGAAAGAAAAGCAGAAGGUUAAUACCCCGCUGUUCUGACGGUACAAAAAGAAUAAGCACCGGCUAACUUCGUG